Molecule: transfer RNA, 188 nt
Filed under: Microbotryum lychnidis-dioicae p1A1 Lamole
Lineage: Eukaryota; Fungi; Basidiomycota; Microbotryomycetes; Microbotryales; Microbotryaceae
Description: tRNA-Undet for anticodon ???
Rfam family: tRNA
About the family: Transfer RNA (tRNA) molecules are approximately 80 nucleotides in length.
Source: RNAcentral
ACCCGGUUGGCUCAGUGGUUUAGAGCGCGGCCACUUAUAUGUCUCUGAAAUAAGCGGCUGUGUGGCCAUUGCCGGGGGGUCCUGCCCCUGUCCCCCGCGUUGAGGCAGGGUUCCCCGGUGAUGGCUGCAUGGCGGACACUUCGGGGUAAGUCAGGCUGAGGUCACGAGUUCGAAUCUUGUACUGGGUA